Long non-coding RNA from Asterias rubens (European starfish), 295 nucleotides. RefSeq lists it as uncharacterized. The record is from RefSeq and is a predicted model, not a curated record. NCBI's taxonomy places the organism in Eukaryota, Metazoa, Echinodermata, Asteroidea, Forcipulatida, Asteriidae. The transcript has 3 exons.
UGGGUGUUUCUUUAUUUCAUAUCUUGAUGUUUUUAUUUCAGAGUGUCAAUUGGCUUGCCUUAAUGGAGCUGAGUGCGACAACGGAACGUGUAGAUGUCAACCUGGUUUCACAGGAGCUCAGUGUGAUCAAAUUGAUUGUUUGUUCCCUUGUUUGAACGGAGCUACAUGCGUAGAAGGCAUUUGUGAAUGUGCUUUAGGAUUUACCGGUAGAGAAUGCACGGAACUUGCUUGCAUUCUACCAUGUGUACAUGGUAUUUGCGUGGAAGGAGAGUGCCAAUGUUUUACAGCAUUUGAA